RNAcentral lists this ribosomal RNA (434 nucleotides) under uncultured bacterium. Its description in RNAcentral is "bacterial SSU rRNA". It matches the Rfam family "Bacterial small subunit ribosomal RNA", at positions 954 to 1392 of the family's 1533-position model. The record is from RNAcentral.
GCACAACGCGAAGAACCUUACCUACCCUUGACAUGUCUGGAAUGCCGAAGAGAUUUGGCAGUGCUCGCAAGAGAACCGGAACACAGGUGCUGCAUGGCUGUCGUCAGCUCGUGUCGUGAGAUGUUGGGUUAAGUCCCGCAGCGAGCGCAACCCUUGUCAUUAGUUGCUACGAAAGGGCACUCUAAUGAGACUGCCGGUGACAAACCGGAGGAAGGUGGGGAUGACGUCAAGUCCUCAUGGCCCUUAUGGGUAGGGCUUCACACGUCAUACAAUGGUCGGGACAGAGGGUCGCCAACCCGCGAGGGGGAGCCAAUCCCAGAAACCCGAUCGUAGUCCGGAUCGCAGUCUGCAACUCGACUGCGUGAAGUCGGAAUCGCUAGUAAUCGCGGAUCAGCAUGUCGCGGUGAAUACGUUCCCGGGUCUUGUACACACCG